GGUAAACACUGAGCAAGAAUGGCAGG
This 26-nucleotide non-coding RNA is filed under the name Rattus norvegicus (Norway rat). The record is from RNAcentral. Lineage: Eukaryota; Metazoa; Chordata; Mammalia; Rodentia; Muridae.